AAACAUGCAUAUUUUAUUAUAGGACAUGUUUUUGUUUUGUAAUUAUUUAUGUAAAACGUUAUACUUAUAUAUAUUUUGUUCUAUACGUACUGUUAUUCGAAACAAUAAUUUUAAAGUAUGGAUAAGUCAUUUUAAUUCGUGUACAUUCAAUCAAAAAAUGAGUGAGUAUAUGAUAUGCAUAGUAUGUAUUGCAUACCAUCUCCGUGGUCCAACCGUGAACUCGUAAGAAGAAUGCUCUUCACCAUCGAAGGAGGAAAACUGCGUGAUCUUCCAGGUGAAUCUGGAGUUUCUCGGAGAAAACUCUAUCAGUUUAAAGCGUUCUGCUGUCCCCAUGGUUCGAGGGAUACGAGUAACGGGGAAGUUUGGUUGGACAUCGCUUAUCUCGGCAUAGAAACCCGCUUUGUCGUUCACAAGAAACCUCUCCUUCAAAUCCUUGUGUGAUAUAAAGUUGGCUAACCCUUGACUACGUUGUUUUUCGUUUUGAUGCCCCACCAAAACUGAUAACACAACAUAUAUAUAUCAAAAUCUAUACCCAAUAAUACUUGUGUGAAUUUUUUUUAUAUGUAUAUUUAUAUACACACAAAAACAUACCGAAGCAAUAAUCAGGUCCAGUCUGAGGGACUAUGCCUAUUUUAAAGUUGAAUUUGACUUCCCAAUUAGACCCGGUACACUUUUCAUCUGUGAUCUCGAGAACAAAGGAUAGAUGGUCUUUUCUUCCCUUAGAUAAGCGUAUAACCAACCUCCUAUAACGAAAAUAUCAAGCCAAAAAAGAACAUGACAUAAGUUAAAUUAAAUUGAUGAACCGUGUUGGAUCAACAGAUCGAACGACUCACCAUUUGAUACCAGAAACUUGGAAAUCCACUGAUUGACAAUUCUUAACUUUUUCAGUCAGUAGCUUAGACAUUCCAUCAACCAACAUGAAGUGAGCGUUUUUGCGUUCCUUAAGCUUCGCUUUUAUGGUGUCUAGAUUGAAUUAUAUAUAUAUGUAGAUGAGUAAACAUAAAUAGGCAGAAAUGAAUUGAAACUUAUAUGUAUGCAUGCGGAAUUAAGUGAAACGAACCUUCAAGUGACGGUAGACCCAUUAUGAGGAUGAUGGUCGUCUAAUUUACCGUAGUAGGGUUCUUUUUAAUUCUUUUGGCCUAUAUGAGAAGAAAGUGGUAUGCAUAUGUCAGUAUAUAUAGGCUGAUUCCUUGACGAAGAGGAUCAAUUAGGAUAGAAAUGGAACCGGUUAUAUAUCUUAUUCUUGCUCCAAAACAAAACAAAAAAGAUAAUCAUAUUAGAGCCAGGUUUUUCGGGUUAAACAAAAGUAGGUCCUAUCAGAAUUUCAUUUGUUUGUUCAUGAAUUUUAUUUCUAAAACUGUUGUUCAUAAUUUGAUCUUUGGUUCCAUUCAUAUCAAUAUAUCUCCAAGCUGUUUGGGAUCAGGUUUAGGCCAAGAUUCUCCAUCUCAAAAAUAUUGGUUUAGUUCGAAAUAUCACUAGACCUGUUUGGACUCGACAGGAGUUUGUAUAUAUGGUCCAAUUGAUAACCUUAAGUAUAUAUUCAUUUGGUAUAUAUACUCUACGACAUCAAUCAACAUAUAUAACUUGUUUUUUGUUUCUUUUGCUUUACAAUAUUCAACAUAAAAUUGGUUUGUACUAAAUACUAUUUUUGGUUUAUCAAAAAGUUAUAGGUGGUAUGGUCCGUAUUACUUUCGGGUUAAAAACUUCACCAAGUUAAAUCAGUUCAUUUCCUGUCACUUGAGUUCAAAUUCAUCGACUUUAAAGGUCUUAGAUUUCCUGCUGUCAAAAAAAAAAAAAAAUCUCCUAAUAAUCUAAUAUACACACUCCAAUUGAAUAAUAGAUUUUGUGUAUUAAUUAAUCCUGACAAAGUAGUUUCUUUUCCCUUUACUUGGGUAUAUGGAUAGACGGAACUUAUGCAUGGAGCUAGUGCCUGGGGCGUUACUAUAUGAAUAUCAUUUGUACACAUGAUUUAUCUCCCACUACGUUGCAAGCAUGUCCAACUUUGCCUAAUUUGGCUGGCCAGUCUAGAAAAUCUCAACCUAGAAAGAAUAACUAAAUUCCCGCAUAUAAAUAGAUAGAUUCGAUCAUAUCUAUAGCUAAUACGAACCAUAUCCUCCGGUCCUUUCAAGCACACUAAUUUUUAUUUUGUUUCCACCAAAAACAUUUGUUUUGACAUGAUCAAUUAAGCACCUAUUUAUUACCACGCUAUCGAGAAUCUAACAACAGUGGGCCGGGUGACAAUUCUGAAGGCGAGAUAUGUGUCUAGAGACGAGCAACGCAAUAUCCUCUUCUUUAGCAACGCAACGCAAUUUGCUUAGCUAGAUAUAUUUUUCUUCUCUAUCAAUAACUUUUCUUCUGUCUUUUUUUUUCUUAAUAUUUUUUUCAUUUUCUUGAUAACUUGAUUUGUUUACAAUAUCUCUAAGAAAUUUUAAUCAAUUUUUUUUAGAAAUGAUAAAAUAUUACCAUCUCUUUUAAAUCCGCGUUUUUACCUUAAAGAUCGUAUAAAAUAGAACAAAUGAGUAUUAAUUAAAGUUUUAAAAUCCCCAAAAUCAUCAAACCUACACAAAUGUAACUACAAAUGUGAACUCUAGGAAUAUAUUUUAAAUGAAAAACUAUGAGAAAGAAUGUUUUACAAAUGAUGCAAACAUAUGUUUUAUAUCAUUACUUCUGAAGUUUAGCAAAUAUAACAUUUAAUCUCUUUUAUAAGUUAUAUUUCUUAAUACUCGAAAUAAAAUAUUUAACACUGUUUACUUCAUGAACUAUAUAUAAUUUCUAUAGCUUUAAGAAAAAAUUUAAACCUUUAAACAUUAAAAAUAUCAUCAUUUGUACCAAUCAAUGAUAACUCUCUACUAUUUAACGUUUCUAAUAGAUUUGAGAGAGAUAGGCAUUGAAAGCCAACUCAUUUGGCCAUACUCUCCAUGAAUAUUAAAAUUGAAAUUGAUUAUUCCAACAUGGUGAGGUUUUUGUUUUUUUGUUUACGUAUGAAAGUAGAGCUUUUUAAGUUUUUUAUAUGUACACACCGAUAUAAUAGUGUAGUUAUUACAAACAAGAAAGGUAGUAAUUACUAAUACACAAGCCUGCAUAUCCCUUCUCCAUAAGAGAAUUUGCAGCAACGGAUUCGGGUUGAAUGUAAUCGUGACAUACAAUACAAUCAACCGAUUCGAUCCGUCACUUAUUCUAUUAUUUUUGAAUAAACCUGCAUGUUUGUAUCAUUCAUUGAUAUCUAAACACACAUUACGAUAUGCAUAUAUAGAAUAAUUGGUAGAUAGUUUCAACAUGAGCUAUUUAUUCUUGUGGUCUUGAUCGAAUCCGUUAUGCGCAUCAGAGAUACUCAGUAGUGGAUACAAUUAAGAACUCAACACCAAUAUAUAUCUGAUCGUUCACUAGAAAUCCCCUCGAAGCUUUGUGGAGUUCCUCCAGCGGCAAAAACUUAUGACGUCCCGAGGUCGUUAAAUGAAGAAACCAAUCUUGGCAGUCUUUAAUUAUCAAACAUGUAAUCAUUAGUAAACGGCUAUAUAUAUAUAUAUGCAUAGAAAAUGUAAAGCUUAGAAAACAAAAUGAUAAAUUAAUUACGUAUACAUACUAAUUUCAUAGUGAUUGCGAUGGAGUUGGUCCAACACUCUCAAUUUAUAGACAGCCAAUGUUACCCCCUUUGGAUCAUCAGUGACAUAAUCGGAAGCAAUCAAAUACAAAGAAAACGAAUUUCCUUUCCCAUCUCCAAAACCUUCUGGGUACAUUGAUAGCCUCCUGGUUCAUAUUUGAAACAUUAAUUUCAAAGUAUGGAUAAUUGAAUCAUUUCAUAUAAUAUUUUUGAAUUCGUUCACACUCGAUAGAAAGUAUAUAUGAUAUGCAUACCAUCUCCGUGGUCCAACCGUGAACUCGUCAGACGAAUGCUCUACACCAGUGAAGGAGGAAAACUUCGUGAUCUUCCAGGUGAAUCUGGAGUUUUUCCGAGCUACCUCUAUCAGUUUAAAGCGUUCUGCUAUUCCCAUGGUUGGAGUGAUACCGGUAAC
Molecule: long non-coding RNA, 4013 nt
Filed under: Arabidopsis lyrata
Lineage: Eukaryota; Viridiplantae; Streptophyta; Magnoliopsida; Brassicales; Brassicaceae
Description: long non-coding RNA (ALYR_LNC002090)
Source: RNAcentral